GGAGGGAUCAUCAAAGAAUAAUAUAUAUUACAAACCCCAAGUGUUAGGGGGGGGAUAAAAGAAGGAAGGGGGGAUAUAUAUGGCUGAUGCUGUUUUCUUCUCUCUCUCUAUCUCUCUCACUAAUGCUUCAAACAAACGAUCACAACUAAAAUUGACUUGGUGGCCUUAUAUAUAAAUGUUUGCCUGAUAAUCUGAUUAUUGGAAUAUAACAAAUACAACUUUCAACAACGGAUCUCUUGGCUCUCACAUCGAUGAAGAACAUAGCAAAGUGUGAAAAUUAAUGUGAAUUGCAGAAUUCAGUGAAUCAUUGAGUCUUUGAACGCAUCUUGCACUCUUUGGUAUUCCAGAGAGUAUGCCUGGUUGAGCAAUGUGAAUAUAUCAUCAAUCUGAAGAGAUUGGAAUUGAGUGGUUUACCUUGUUGUUAUAAAAAAAAAGACAAGGUUCACUUGAAAUGAAGAGAAGAAUGACAACAACAAACAGGGUUUGGUGUGGUUGAUCAAGAGGAAAAAAGACAAGCAAAUUUGAUUUGGUGAACGUUGACUUUUGAAAAAAAAAGAAGAUUGGCUUGAUUUUUAACAACAAUGACUUGAUGAAGGGAAAAACAACAAUGCAUGGAUUAUGGUGGAUAAUGAUUUGGAUUGCGUUGGGUGCGCACAAAAAAGUCUUGUUUAGAGCUUUUCUUCGCUUAUUAUAUCUUUGGAACCUUGAUCGUGUUAUCUGUCUGUCUGUCUGUCUGUCUAUAAUUCACAACUAGGAAAUUAUUAUUCUAUCUUAUCAUUCUCAACUCAGGCAAGACUACCCGCUGAAUUUAAGCAUAUAAAUAAGCGGAGGAAAAGAAACUAACAAGGAUUCCCUUAGUAACUGCGAGUGAAGCGGGAAAAGCUCAACUUUGAAAUCUACUAGGAGUAAUAUUCCUGGUCGAAUUGUAGUUUCAAGAAAGAGUGGCUCAGGGAAGCUGGUUGGGUGUAAGUUCCUUGGAAUGAGACAUCAGAGAGGGUGACAAUCCCGUCUACCGUCCUUCCGCUUUUCUACCAAGCCCUCUUUUCAAAGAGUCGAGUUGUUUGGGAUUGCAGCUCAAAAUGGGUGGUAAAUUUCAUCUAAAGCUAAAUAUGGGUGAGAGACCGAUAGCGAACAAGUACCGUGAGGGAAAGAUGAAAAGCACUCUGAAGAGAGAGUGAAAAGUACGUGAAAUUGUUGAAAGGGAAACGCUUGAAACCAGUCAAGGUUGAUUAGAUUUCAGGGGGGUAUAUUGUUGGGUAGGAUUGGUAUGGGGGAUUGGUUCCUUAUGUGAAUUAACUCUAUAUUAGUUUUGCACUCAAUUAUACCUUCUGUAUGUUUCUAAUGAACAAGUCAGCAUCAGUUUGAUUGCUUGGGAUAAAGGUGACAGGAUUUGGUCAAUCUUUCGACGAGCCUUGUUUGCUCUCGGAGUUUUGAGCCUGCUUAUCAUGAUACCAAGUGUUGGACUGAGGAAUGCAGUACAAGACAUUGACUUGGAAUAGGCAAUCAUGGGUGUGUUGUCUUUGGUAAACAGCUUGCUGAUUAUCGAAUAACUCCCACCUAUGACUUGUCAAAUUCAAGCUGGUCUUGACUUUUGGAUGUUGACGAAAUGGUUUUAAACGACCCGUCUUGAAACACGGACCAAGGAGUCUAACAUGGAUGCAAGUAUUUGGGUGAUUGGAAACCCAUAUGCGCAAUGAAAGUGAAUUUUUUUGAUAGGUAGGAAGUUAACUGUAAUAUAUAUAUAUAUAUGUUGACAGCACUAUCGACCGAUCUUACCUAGCUUCGGCUUACUAGAUUUGAGUAAGAGCAUGCAUGUUGGGACCCGAAAGAUGGUGAACUAUGCCUGAAUAGGGUGAAGUCAGACGAAAGUCUGAUGGAAGCUCGUAGCGAUUCUGACGUGCAAAUCGAUCGUCAAAUUUGGGUAUAGGGGCGAAAGACUAAUCGAACCAUCUAGUAGCUGGUUCCUGC
RNAcentral lists this unclassified non-coding RNA (1968 nucleotides) under uncultured fungus. RNAcentral describes it as "sequence contains 18S rRNA gene, ITS1, 5.8S rRNA gene, ITS2, 28S rRNA gene". The stretch from base 776 to 1968 matches the Rfam family "Eukaryotic large subunit ribosomal RNA", at positions 1 to 961 of the family's 3401-position model. The record is from RNAcentral. Lineage: Eukaryota; Fungi.